This 377-nucleotide unclassified non-coding RNA is filed under the name uncultured Parachlamydiaceae bacterium. RNAcentral's name for it is "contains 16S-23S intergenic spacer region". The record is from RNAcentral. Lineage: Bacteria; Pseudomonadati; Chlamydiota; Chlamydiia; Parachlamydiales; Parachlamydiaceae.
UCCUGGUUAACCCAGGCAGUCUCAUUAGAGUUCCCACCUUAAAUGUUGGCAACUAAUGAUAAGGGUUGCGCUCGUUGCGGGACUUAACCCAACACCUCACGGCACGAGCUGACGACAGCCAUGCAGCACCUGUGCACCGGCCCCGAAGGGACGCACCAUUUCUGGUGUUGUCCGGUGCAUGUCAAGUCUGGGUAAGGUUCUUCGCGUUGCAUCGAAUUAAACCACAUGCUCCACUGCUUGUGCGGGUCCCCGUCAAUUCUUUUGAGUUUCAGCCUUGCGACUGUACUCCCCAGGCGGUAUACUUAACGCGUUAGCUACGGCACAACCGGGGUUGAGUCCAGUUACACCAAGUAUACAUAGUUUAGGGCAAGGACUAC